UUGUUCUUCGAGAUAACGUCGGACCUUGAGCUAGCGCCGCCCGCACCCACCUGACGGCUGCUCGCUACGUUUUGUUAGCC
This 80-nucleotide small RNA is filed under the name Xanthomonas campestris. RNAcentral's name for it is "sX9 sRNA". It matches the Rfam family "Xanthomonas sRNA sX9". The record is from RNAcentral. Lineage: Bacteria; Pseudomonadati; Pseudomonadota; Gammaproteobacteria; Lysobacterales; Lysobacteraceae.